Molecule: ribosomal RNA, 295 nt
Filed under: uncultured bacterium
Lineage: Bacteria
Description: partial 16S ribosomal RNA
Rfam family: Bacterial small subunit ribosomal RNA
Source: RNAcentral
AUUGAACGCUGGCGGCAUGCCUUACACAUGCAAGUCGAACGGCAGCACGGGAUUCAGGCAACUGAGCCCUGGUGGCGAGUGGCGAACGGGUGAGUAAUGCAUCGGAACGUGCCCAGUAGUGGGGGAUAACUAGUCGAAAGAUUAGCUAAUACCGCAUACGACCUAUGGGUGAAAGCGGGGAUUUCGGGCAACCGAGAACCUCGCGCUAUCGGAGCGGCCGAUGUCUGAUUAGCUAGUUGGCGGGUAAAAGCCACAAGGCUUCGAUCAGUAGCUGGUCUGAGAGGACGACCAGCCA